RNAcentral lists this RNase P RNA (404 nucleotides) under Gemmatimonadales bacterium. RNAcentral describes it as "RNase P RNA component class A". It matches the Rfam family "Bacterial RNase P class A". From Rfam's summary of the family: Ribonuclease P (RNase P) is a ubiquitous endoribonuclease, found in archaea, bacteria and eukarya as well as chloroplasts and mitochondria. Lineage: Bacteria; Pseudomonadati; Gemmatimonadota; Gemmatimonadia; Gemmatimonadales. The record is from RNAcentral.
GGAGUGGGCGAGGCGAUCGAUCGGCCGUUGACGGCGGCCGGUAGGAAAGUCCGGACUGGGCAGGGCACGGUGGUCGGUAACACCGACCCGGCGCGAGCCGAGGGAAAGUGCCACAGAGAACAGACCGCCGAUGGCGCCUCAGUGCGCACAGGCAAGGGUGAAACGGUGCGGUAAGAGCGCACCGCGCGGCCUGGUGACAGGCGCGGCACGGUAAACCCCACCGCCAGCAAGCCCACGUAAGCAGUGAGCGGCCCUGGGGCUCAAGCCUUGGGGCCGACGAUGCGGCCCGCAUCGUCAUCAACUGCGGGUAGGGCGCAAGAGCCGACGGGCAACCGUUCGGCCCAGAUACAUGAUCGCCCCUGCUAGCGCAGGAACAGGAUCCGGCUUAUUCGCCCGCUCCGCCU